This 111-nucleotide ribosomal RNA is filed under the name uncultured bacterium. Its description in RNAcentral is "partial 16S ribosomal RNA". It matches the Rfam family "Bacterial small subunit ribosomal RNA", at positions 384 to 509 of the family's 1533-position model. The record is from RNAcentral.
UGAUCCAGCGACGCCGCGUGAGUGAAGAAGUAUUUCGGUAUGUAAAGCUCUGUCAGCAGGGAAGAAAGAGAUGACGGUACCUGACCAAGAAGCCCCGGCUAACUACGUGCC